This 506-nucleotide ribosomal RNA is filed under the name uncultured bacterium. RNAcentral's name for it is "partial 16S ribosomal RNA". It matches the Rfam family "Bacterial small subunit ribosomal RNA", at positions 30 to 523 of the family's 1533-position model. The record is from RNAcentral.
AUUGAACGCUGGCGGCAGGCCUAACACAUGCAAGUCGAGCGGCAGCGGAAAGUAGCUUGCUACUUUGCCGGCGAGCGGCGGACGGGUGAGUAAUGUCUGGGGAUCUGCCUGAUGGAGGGGGAUAACUACUGGAAACGGUAGCUAAUACCGCAUAACGUCGCAAGACCAAAGAGGGGGACCUUCGGGCCUCUUGCCAUCAGAUGAACCCAGAUGGGAUUAGCUAGUAGGUGGGGUAACGGCUCACCUAGGCGACGAUCCCUAGCUGGUCUGAGAGGAUGACCAGCCACACUGGAACUGAGACACGGUCCAGACUCCUACGGGAGGCAGCAGUGGGGAAUAUUGCACAAUGGGCGCAAGCCUGAUGCAGCCAUGCCGCGUGUAUGAAGAAGGCCUUCGGGUUGUAAAGUACUUUCAGCGAGGAGGAAGGCGUUAAGGUUAACAACCUUAGCGAUUGACGUUACUCGCAGAAGAAGCACCGGCUAACUCCGUGCCAGCCGCCGCCGUAA